Molecule: unclassified non-coding RNA, 376 nt
Filed under: Hevea brasiliensis (rubber tree)
Lineage: Eukaryota; Viridiplantae; Streptophyta; Magnoliopsida; Malpighiales; Euphorbiaceae
Source: RNAcentral
GUUCUCCACAAAGCAGAGAAAAAGCAAAGGUUCGAUUUCACGUUUGCUUAUUUUCUGUAUUUUGUAUUCUCACAUGUCUAGAAAUGUUCGUUAUUAUAAACCCUAGAAGUAAUUUAUGCAAAAUGCUACCUCUCUUCAUCUAAUGCUUUGGAUUUGAAAUCAAAAUAGAUCUCUCUUGUUUGGGAGUUUGUGUAAUUUUAGCCAUGCAUGUAUUGUUUUGUCAUAAUGGAGUCAUGGGCAAGCGGCAUUUUGAAGGAGGCAGGCAUUUGUUUGUUCUUUUAGCUUGGAAACACUUUGGACCUUUUCAAUGAUGCAAGAAUAUGGCUAAUUUAUGAUUUUCAUGUUCAAGUUCAUUAUUAACCGCUAGGCAGCUCCG